UACGUAGGGGGCAAGCGUUGUCCGGAUUUAUUGGGCGUAAAGAGCGUGUAGGCGGUCAGGUAGGUCCGUUGUGAAAACUCGAGGCUCAACCUCGAGACGCCGAUGGAAACCAUCUGACUAGAGUCCGGAAGAGGAGAGUGGAAUUCCUGGUGUAGCGGUGAAAUGCGUAGAUAUCGGGAGGAACACCAGUGGCGAAGGCGACUUCCUGGCCUGUUCUUGACGCUGAGGCGCGAAAGCUAGGGGAGCAAACGGG
RNAcentral lists this ribosomal RNA (253 nucleotides) under uncultured bacterium. RNAcentral's name for it is "partial 16S ribosomal RNA". It matches the Rfam family "Bacterial small subunit ribosomal RNA", at positions 524 to 776 of the family's 1533-position model. The record is from RNAcentral.